Molecule: transfer RNA, 68 nt
Filed under: Acorhinotermes subfusciceps
Lineage: Eukaryota; Metazoa; Arthropoda; Insecta; Blattodea; Rhinotermitidae
Description: tRNA-Asp
Source: RNAcentral
AAAGAAUUAGUUAACCAAAUAACGCCAGCUUGUCAAGCUGAAAUUGCCAAAUACAUAGGCAUUCUUUU